This 1506-nucleotide long non-coding RNA is filed under the name Pan troglodytes (chimpanzee). RNAcentral's name for it is "long non-coding RNA NONPTRT011442". Lineage: Eukaryota; Metazoa; Chordata; Mammalia; Primates; Hominidae. The record is from RNAcentral.
CUAUGGUCCAAGGUUCCCCAAACAAGAAUCACUCAUACACAAUUCUUGCUACAUCUAGAGAACACUAAUACCAGUAUCAGUUUAUUUAUGAUGUUUAUUUUAACUUAAAGAUAGAGAAAACUUUAGAGCACUACCUAUACUCUCCACACUAUAUCCAGAAAGAGUACUCUACGCAUUAAACUGCCCUUGCCACUUCACUGUCUAAAACAUGUCUCCAUUAUCAAUUCAUAUAUUAUGUCAAAUCCCUCGAAUUUUAAAAUAAAAAUAAAAUUCAAAGGUAAAUGUUAGAAAUCUAUGCAUUUAUGGCUACUGCCUAAGUCCUAUUCUUUUGGAAUCAUUUCUAGAAAGGGUAAAAGCUGACCACACUCAGUACACUGGUCAAAGUCUGAACCCAGAAUACCAGGAAACUCCAUCCUCCAACACCAUCCCCCAAAGCCCACUCUGCAAAGGCAAUGACAUUCUCAAAAUAUAGAAGUACCGAGUCCUUCUUAGGCCAUAUUUAGUUCACUGUAACACUAUUCGUCGGUGAAUUCUUUUAUUCACUUGUAUCACUGUGGACUCAUGGAUUCUUUUUUAUUAAAUGGCAAACUGAUGCUCUAUAAAUUUUGACAUAUGUAUACAUCCAUGAAGCCGGCACCACAAUCAAGAUAAUGAACCAAAUGAUUGUCCAUGGAUGCUUACUCUGCCCUUUCAAUGACUAAUCUGUAUAAUCUGUAGUCCUAUCAAUGAGCUGUUUUUCUCCUCCUGGGCCCUGUUGUUGUUCAUCCUAUUUGCCUCCCUGGCAAAUGUGACAGUUGUAGCUGUUGUUAUUUUUCUCAAAUGAGUUUAAAUUGUGAAUUACAUCAGUUCAUCACAGCCAAAGCAAACCUCUUUUUAAUUGCAGAUCUCAAAUGUCCCCCCUCUAAAUUAAAAUAAAAUGCACAAAAUGCUGCCAACUGUUUCACAAAGUAAGUAGCUAAAAACAAAAACUAUUUGUACUUUUUCUGGAUUUCCUGGGUGGCAAGCAGUUCUGCUUUCUGGCCUGGGUGGGAUCAGCUGGGACAAUUAGGGUGCCUGGCUUCUCUAUCUACAUAUUCUUUCAUGCUAGGCUUCUUCAGACAUGGUGGUCUCAGGGUUUAAGAACAUGAGAGGUGGCAGGGUGUGGUGGCUCAUGCCUGUAAUCCCAGAAAUUUGGGAGGCCGAGGCAGGCGGAUCACCUGAGGUCAGGAGUUCGAGACUAGCCUGACCAACAUGCAGAAUGGUUUGGGGGCUGUUAGAAAACACAUUUCUUGAACUAUUUCUUAUUCAGAUGAUUGUAAAGAUUAUUUUGAUUAAGAAGGCACCUCUCACUGUUUGAUGCUUUUAUACUGAAUGAAAAACAGUCCAAAGGUCUGUAAGACAAUUCACAUUGGUACAGAUUUAGAUAAUUAUUUCCUGAAAAGAAAUGUUGAACUGUUAGUUACUACUCAAAUUCUUUUCUUAAAACAAAAUGAAACAUUCAAGUUUGACUUAGAAAAUUACUAGACU